CCGCCAACAGCUAUUUCAGCUUCUUGAACUCUUUACCAGUAAAGUCAUCAUAGCCAAAAGUCAUCACGCAACAUCAGCUCCUCCAGAUUCUCAACCGUAGGGAUAGUGCGGGCAACAAUCUCUGCUACAUCAUCUUCAGAUAGUUCCUCACCGCCAAAGGGUGUUUCCUCAAUGCCACUGUCACAAGCUUCAUGAAGUCUUCUCACCAUCUCAGUUUGACACCUUCUCCUUGUUUGUUCUAACAUGUGUAGUCAUCCAUGAAUCCUAGAAAAAUUAGGUAUGGACUGACCACUGAUUCAAGUACUGCUUCUUAUUCUUACAGUCAACACAAGGGCACAACAUAGAUGACUUAUCUCCAUUCCUUAUGUGUCCGCCUCUGCUAGGAAAUAUUUGAGUCCUUCCAAGUACUCAUCAGAAGUACAAUUCUUAACAUAGAUCCAGUGGCCUCGAUCCUCCAUAGUGUACAGAAAAGAUUGAAAAUGGAAGAAUAUAAGGAAAUUCAUCAAUCCUUUAGUAAUACAAGUCACAUUUUCAAUAGACUUAGUUUGCAUUGCAAUCAUUUAUCUUAGUUUCACACAAGCUCACCACUGCUCACAGAGAGAAGCACACACCAGCAAAUUGAAAACUAGAGGAGAUGAAAGCACUAGAUACCCAGUGCAAGUCACUAGUAACUGACCUUGUUGGUGUUCUUGGAC
RNAcentral lists this long non-coding RNA (695 nucleotides) under Sorghum bicolor (sorghum). RNAcentral describes it as "long non-coding RNA (SBIC_LNC007642)". The record is from RNAcentral. Lineage: Eukaryota; Viridiplantae; Streptophyta; Magnoliopsida; Poales; Poaceae.